Molecule: long non-coding RNA, 684 nt
Organism: Fukomys damarensis (Damara mole-rat)
Lineage: Eukaryota; Metazoa; Chordata; Mammalia; Rodentia; Bathyergidae
Exons: 5
Source: RefSeq, a predicted model, not a curated record
GGGCGACGGCACGUCCACACUGCUCGGGUGAAUCACAGGACAUUGGACUGUUGCAGCAAUCACAUUUAUUCCCUGUAAUCUCCACUCUUAUGAACUUUCAUUAUCUGACACUCAUUUCAUCAAAUAAAAUGAGAUAGAAGCACAGAAUUGGGAUAUCACUUAGAGAUAAUUUGUUUUCAGAAAUUGUAGUCCACGAUCAGCUGGUUCCAAGAUAGAGAAACUGACAGAAGGGUCUGGUGGAGCAAGGCACCUCCACGCACGACGUCCAGGAAGCAGACAGCAUGGGGAAGCAAGAAAGAAAAGGUUACAGACAGCAUAAAAUAAACUCUGGACCACUGGCUGAGAAUCUUUCCCUGGAAGUUGACACAGACGGGAACAGUCCUGCCCUGCCUCCUCUCUGAGUCAGCCUCAUGAAAAUUCUCCCUGAGCAGAGUUCUGUAGAGGAAAAAACCAUAUGCAGUCUCCAACACCAAAUGUGUAAUGCUCGCUGGCGACGAUGCGGUGUAAAAGAACCAGAUAAGUGAAGAGGAGAACUUUGAAAAUUUGGGUUGUAAUUUUGAUAAUUUUAUUAGGAUUUCUAAUAAAUGUCAUCGAGGCUCCUCUGGAAGAAUGUGCUGUUUUGUUGACUGUUCCCAGGUGCUUAAGUCACAGGACUGUGGAGGAAUAGCCCUGUUUAUAGAAGAC